This 274-nucleotide ribosomal RNA is filed under the name uncultured bacterium. RNAcentral's name for it is "partial 16S ribosomal RNA". It matches the Rfam family "Bacterial small subunit ribosomal RNA", at positions 523 to 796 of the family's 1533-position model. The record is from RNAcentral.
AUACGUAGGGGGCGAGCGUUGUCCGGAAUUACUGGGCGUAAAGCGCGCGUAGGCGGUUUGUUAAGCGAGAUGUGAAAGCCCCGGGCUUAACCUGGGAAUUGCAUUCGAAACUGCCAAGCUAGAGUAUGUUAGAGGAAAGUGGAAUUCCCGGUGUAGCGGUGAAAUGCGUAGAUAUCGGGAGGAACAUCAGUGGCGAAGGCGACUUACUGGGCAGUGCCUGACGCUGAGGUGCGAGAGCGUGGGGAGCAAACUGGAUUAGAAACCCCAGUAGUCC